GAUGAACGCUGGCGGCGUGCCUAAUACAUGCAAGUCGAGCGAACAGACGAGGAGCUUGCUCCUCUGACGUUAGCGGCGGACGGGUGAGUAACACGUGGAUAACCUACCUAUAAGACUGGGAUAACUUCGGGAAACCGGAGCUAAUACCGGAUAAUAUAUUGAACCGCAUGGUUCAAUAGUGAAAGACGGUUUUGCUGUCACUUAUAGAUGGAUCCGCGCCGCAUUAGCUAGUUGGUAAGGUAACGGCUUACCAAGGCGACGAUGCGUAGCCGACCUGAGAGGGUGAUCGGCCACACUGGAACUGAGACACAGUCCAGACUCCUACGGGAGGCAGCAGUAGGGAAUCUUCCACAAUGGACGAAAGCCUAACGGAGCAACGCCGCGUGAGUGAUGAAGGUCUUCGGAUCGUAAAACUCUGUUAUUAGGGAAGAACAAAUGUGUAAGUAACUAUGCACGUCUUGACGGUACCUAAUCAGAAAGCCACGGCUAACUACGUG
RNAcentral lists this ribosomal RNA (497 nucleotides) under uncultured bacterium. RNAcentral's name for it is "partial 16S ribosomal RNA". It matches the Rfam family "Bacterial small subunit ribosomal RNA", at positions 28 to 507 of the family's 1533-position model. The record is from RNAcentral.